UACGUAGGGCGCAAGCGUUGUCCGGAAUUAUUGGGCGUAAAGAGCUCGUAGGCGGCUUGUCACGUCGGGUGUGAAAGCCCGGGGCUUAACCCCGGGUCUGCAUUCGAUACGGGCUAGCUAGAGUGUGGUAGGGGAGAUCGGAAUUCCUGGUGUAGUGGUGAAAUGCGCAGAUAUCAGGAGGAACACCGGUGGCGAAGGCGGAUCUCUGGGCCAUUACUGACGCUGAGGAGCGAAAGCGUGGGGAGCGAACAGG
This 253-nucleotide ribosomal RNA is filed under the name uncultured bacterium. RNAcentral describes it as "partial 16S ribosomal RNA". It matches the Rfam family "Bacterial small subunit ribosomal RNA", at positions 524 to 776 of the family's 1533-position model. The record is from RNAcentral.